This 996-nucleotide long non-coding RNA is filed under the name Cricetulus griseus (Chinese hamster). RNAcentral's name for it is "lncRNA (ENSCGRG00000026135.1)". The record is from RNAcentral. Lineage: Eukaryota; Metazoa; Chordata; Mammalia; Rodentia; Cricetidae.
GUCCACAACAUCUUACCCCUCCCGGUGCCUAUGUAAGGUGUGUGGGGUGACUUGUCAUUAGUGAUGCCCAGAGGACAAAGUGAAGCUAUUGAUGCCUCAGCCCAGCUGGGGGACAUUUGUGAGUGAAGUUGAUCCUGAACCUGACCCCAGCCCAGUGGACAUGUCUCAUUAGACGGCAGUGCCCUUGGUGGUAGGUGAGAACAGGUUGGAGCAGGUUGGGUGAGUGCCCCAAAUGCAGUCAAGUGACUUAGUGGGAUAGGUCUUCUAAGACUCUGAGAUAUCAGGGUAGUCUGGGACAGUCUGUCAGGUUCGUUUCUAAUGUGUCUUUUGUGGCCCUGGCCCAGGCUCAGCAUUUCACCCAGUGUCUCAAGACUCUGUUCAGCGUGCUCAACUAUGAACGGACAAAACAUACUAACCUUCUGGGGGCUUCUGUACUGGGCCUGAAUGAUGUCUACAGGACCUGGCGGGCCUUUGUACUGCAUGUACGCACUCUGAACCCGGCACCCAGGAUGUACUUUGUUAAGGCAGAUGUGACCGGGGCAUAUGAUGCCAUCCCGCAGGAGAAGCUUGUGGAGGUUGUUGCCAAUAUGAUCAGACACCCGGAGAACACAUACUGUAUCCGCCAAUAUGCAGUGAUCCAAAGAGAUAGAGAAGGCCAAAUCCACAGGUCCUUCAGGAGACAGGUCUCCACCCUCUCUGACCUCCAGCCACACAUGGGCCAGUUCGUGAGGCAUCUUCAGGACUCAGAUACCAGUGCGCUGAGGAACUCCGUUGUCAUUGAGCAGGUCCUUGGGCUCCCCAUUAAUCGGCCGCACCUGGUGGGGCCUUCCUCCUCUACUUGGCUAUUUGCUUCAGUGUAGGAAUGUGACCAAGGUAUUCCUUGGUGGAGAGUUCCCAUGACCAAGGCCACUCUUUCCUGGUGGCAGUCCCCAUCCCUAUGACAUGACCUAGACUCCCCAAUAGCUACUAAGGUGGGCAUGCUCUGAAGUGCCCUGC